GACGAACGCUGGCGGCGUGCUUAACACAUGCAAGUCGAACGGAAAGGCCCUGCAUUUGUGGGGUGCUCGAGUGGCGAACGGGUGAGUAACACGUGAGUAACCUGCCCUUGACUUUGGGAUAACUUCAGGAAACUGGGGCUAAUACCGGAUAGGAGCUCCUGCUGCAUGGUGGGGGUUGGAAAGCUGCGGCGGUUGGGGAUGGACUCGCGGCUUACCAGCUUGUUGGUGGGGUAGUGGCUUACCAAGGCUUUGACGGGUAGCCGGCCUGAGAGGGUGACCGGCCACAUGGUUCCUAAGGAAUGGACCAGUAUCGAACGGGGGGCAACAGUGGAGAGUGUUACACAGUGGGCGGAAGCCUGAGGCCGCAACGCCGCGUGCGGGAUGACGGCCUUCUGUGGGUAAACCGCUUUCGCUUGAUACGACGCGUGAUUGACGGUAAUGGGUAAGUAAGCACCGGCUAACUACGUG
RNAcentral lists this ribosomal RNA (468 nucleotides) under uncultured bacterium. RNAcentral's name for it is "partial 16S ribosomal RNA". It matches the Rfam family "Bacterial small subunit ribosomal RNA", at positions 28 to 507 of the family's 1533-position model. The record is from RNAcentral.